UUCAAGAGGCAAUGGCUAUUGCUCAAGGACAUGUUGCCAAAGAACAGAGACGUCAGGCUGAGCUCUAUAACCGACGUGUGAAGGGGAACUUGAUUGCUACGGGUGAUAGAGUCCUGGUUUCCAACAGACGUGAGAGAGGGAAGCGAAAAACAGCAGACAGGUGGGAGUCCACCAUAUACACUGUCGCUGGCGUGAACCAUGCUACUCACACAUAUGUGAUCAAGAAUCCUAUGACUGGACAGGAGAGGGUUGUGCACCGUAACCUGUUGAUGCUUGUUAACUUCUUACCUGUGGACGUGGACAGUCAUGCAGAUCGCACCUUUCAGUCUUCUUCUGAAGCUGGAUCUGGCGAUGUCAUGGAUGCAACGGGAUUGCUGUCUUUCUCAGAAAGUGGGGAAUCUGUGAACAGAACUCGGCAAUGGGUUGACAAUUUGUCGGCUGCAUGUUCGGACAGCUGUGAGGACGCUGAGCCCUCUAGUCGUGUUUUGAGCAUGGCUGAUGUGCCUGAGAGUGUGAGUGAUUUGCACCAUCAGGCCGGUUCAGUGACCUCUGAACAAGACUGCUUAUCGGCCCCCUCGACCAUCACUCAGGGAGGGAACAGACAACUCACGCCUUCCAACCAAUCUGGUCCUGGUGAUGUACAACCAGUCAGAUCUCGUUUUGGGCGCAUUGUCAAACCAGUCAAUCGGUUGCUCCAUGUAAUGUCCACUCAAGAGGUCGUCAAUGAUGCAAGUCAGAUAAUUGGCAAAGUCUCCAAAUCAAUACGUCAGGCUUUUCAGUGAGGUUUUUCUUCUACAUUGUGGUUUCCAGUUUGGUGUAUUUGUUCCAUUCUGGUUUGCCAUUGCACCACCGUGUUUACACUCCGGUCCCGAUGCGGGGACAUUUCUUUUUCUGUGGGGCAUGGUUUGUGUGGGGUGUAGACGGCAUCCCGCAUCCAGGAGCUGGUAGUGAGUUGGCGCCGCUCACUCUGCUUCAUCCUUUUGGGGAUACUUCUUGAGUUGGUAUAUCUAUAACCAUGUCGGGUCUGUUUUCUUUUGGGUCUUUCUUUUGUUUUGUUGAUUUUGGUGGAUGCUGUGGGUUGUGCAUCUAUAAUUUUGAGCGAAAUUCUGCGGGGGUGGAUGUAACAGAGUUAGAAAAUAGCUUAAUGAAUUUCCUCAAAAUUGAUGUGCUUUGUGAAUAGUUGGAGCCACCUGGUGGACAAAUACAGCAACUGCAACUGUUAAGGUUCCAAAUCGCUGCACAGCGCAUGCCUCAGCAAAGGAAAAUACUCCCAAGCUGGUGAACUGAAUGUUGCAGUUGCUUAGCACACUGUUAAUGACGACUGUUUUCUUUGUACCAGGUAGGCGCUGUUAAGUAUAAGUUUUAAUUGAUGCUGUUGUAUAGGAAAAAAAAAGAUGAACAAUGAUGAUUUAUAAUAGAAAAGCUGUUUUAUAUGUUAUUGUUGUUGUUGGUUAGGAAAAAGGAGAUAUAAUGUCUCUUAUCACUCACUUACCACAAGGAGAAAAAUAAAUAAAUAAUACUGCUACUAUACGAUCACAGGUUUGGUUUCAGCUAGAACUUUUAAAGAAAGAUUUUGUUAAUGUUGUGUUGUAUCUUAGUCAUUUGUUAAGUGUUAUGUUUGGAAAGAAAAAAAAAGGAAAAUACUCCCAAGCUGGUGUUGCCAGAAUAAAGAGGGAGCCCAAAGUAAGGGCAAGUCCAGCGUUGCAGUGCCGUCCUUCCUACAUGGGCAUAUCACACCACUUGCACGAUAGACUCACAGAACAGCAACAGCUACACCCGCACUUCAACGUUUGCUUGAGUGUAUUGCACUUCUUAGUUUUAACACCAGGGGGAGCUGCUGUUGAUCAAGUCAGUUGCGCCACCAAAAAGGACAAUCGCAGAAGAAAUUUACCCCCAAGUUACUAUCCUUUAAAAAAAAGAAAAAAAGAAAAAGAAAACAUGGGGUCCUCGGGCUGUACAAAGUGUACAACCCGAGGACAAAACAAGCCGAAGACCAAGGACUCCAUCUCCAGAUUAACCGGACAUGAAAGUCUUGUUAUUAAGAAAGACAAAGUAAUAUAGCAAAAAA
Long non-coding RNA from Oreochromis aureus, 2068 nucleotides. RefSeq lists it as uncharacterized. The record is from RefSeq and is a predicted model, not a curated record. Lineage: Eukaryota; Metazoa; Chordata; Actinopteri; Cichliformes; Cichlidae. The transcript is spliced from 2 exons.